Molecule: ribosomal RNA, 1096 nt
Filed under: Uloma sp. NLG-2012
Lineage: Eukaryota; Metazoa; Arthropoda; Insecta; Coleoptera; Tenebrionidae
Description: partial 16S ribosomal RNA
Source: RNAcentral
GUCUUUAAAAUUAAAAAAUUUGGCGGUAUUUUAGUCUGUUCAGAGGAACCUGUUUCUUGAUUGAUAGUCCACGAUUAUUUUUACUUUAACUUUAAAUUUGUAUAUCGUCGUUUAUAAAAAUUUUAUUAUUAAAUUUUUUCAGAUCAAGGUGUAGUUUAUGUUAAAGUUGAAAUGGGUUACAUUGGGAAUUUUAAUGAAAUUGGAUUUGAUAGUAAGCUCUAAAAUAUGCACAUAUCGCCCGUCGCUUUCGCUUUAAGGUGGAAUAAGUCGUAACAAAGUAGGCUUAUUGGAAAAUGGGCCUGGAAUGCGGAUUAGAGCUUGGUAAGCACUUUAUUUACAUUAAAGGGUUAAUUGUGAAAUUCAAUUUAAUUUGAUUGAAAUAGGUUAAUUGUUUUUAGUUUUGGUUAAAUUUAAAAUAAAAAUUUUUAUGUUUAAUUGUUUUUUUGAAAUAAUUUUUAUAGAUUAAAGUAUUGUGAGAGAAUUUUUUUUUAUUUUUUAAAGAAAAUUUUUUUUAUUGUACCUUGUGUAUCAGGGUUGAUUUAUUUAGUUUUCCCGAAUUUAGAAGGGCUAUUUUUAAUGUUGAAUAAUUAUUUAAAAUUCUUUUAUAGUAAUGAAAUAUUAUUCGUUUUUAAAUAUAUCUGGUUUUCAAGGAAAUGAAUUGAAUUUAGGAGAUUUUUCAUGGAUUUUAUAAGGGAUAAGCUUUUAAUUAAAUAUUUAUAAUUUUUUUUUAUUUAAUUUUUUAUAGGAUUAGAAUUUUCCAUUAAUUGAAGGAUGUUAUAAUUAAUUAAGUUUUUACUUGGAUUUGAAUUUUAAUUUUUAAUGUUUUGUAAUAAUGAUUAAAUUAGUMAAGUUGACUUAAGGAAUUCGGCAAAUUAGAUUUUCACCUGUUUAAUAAAAACAUGUCUUUUUGAUUUUGAUUGAAGGUCUGGCCUGCCCAAUGAUUAAAUGGCCGCAGUAUAUUGACUGUGCAAAGGUAGCAUAAUCAUUAGUUUCUUAAUUAGAAGCUGGAAUGAAAGGUUUGAUGAGAAAUCAACUGUCUCUUGAAUUUUAUUUUUGAGUUAAAAAGCUUAAAUUUUGUAUAGGGACGAGAAGACCC